GACGAACGCUGGCGGCGUGCUUAACACAUGCAAGUCGAACGGAAAGGCCUUUCCGGAGGUACUCGAGUGGCGAACGGGUGAGUAACACGUGGGUGAUCUGCCCUGCACUCUGGGAUAAGCCUGGGAAACUGGGUCUAAUACCGGAUAGGACCGCACUUUAGUGUGUGUGGUGGAAAGUUUUUUCGGUGUAGGAUGAGCCCGCGGCCUAUCAGCUUGUUGGUGGGGUAAUGGCCUACCAAGGCGGCGACGGGUAGCCGGACUGAGAGGUUGGUCGGCCACAUUGGGACUGAGAUACGGCCCAGACUCCUACGGGAGGCAGCAGUGGGGAAUAUUGCACAAUGGGCGCAAGCCUGAUGCAGCGACGCCGCGUGGGGGAUGACGGCCUUCGGGUUGUAAACUCCUUUCGCCAGGGACGAAGCGUUUUGUGACGGUACCUGGAGAAGAAGCACCGGCUAACUACGUG
This 463-nucleotide ribosomal RNA is filed under the name uncultured bacterium. RNAcentral describes it as "partial 16S ribosomal RNA". It matches the Rfam family "Bacterial small subunit ribosomal RNA", at positions 28 to 507 of the family's 1533-position model. The record is from RNAcentral.